Long non-coding RNA from Acinonyx jubatus (cheetah), 3140 nucleotides. RefSeq lists it as uncharacterized. NCBI's taxonomy places the organism in Eukaryota, Metazoa, Chordata, Mammalia, Carnivora, Felidae. The record is from RefSeq and is a predicted model, not a curated record. The transcript has 2 exons.
ACAGCUCCAACUUACACACAAAGAGGCCAAAGUAGCACCUGCAGGCACACGAUCUCACAGCAAGUCAACGCCCUUUAUCAACUUUCUCAGCAGAGCCAAUAGUAGCCACUGCCUACCGGAUGCCUCCUAUUUGCUGGCAUACAAAACCUUCCCCUCUACAACAGACCUGUGUGUUCCAUUUUGUUCUGAUCGCGAACAUCAGGAAGGUGGCGAAGGAGCCUGCCCUGGGAUUCAAGCCAGCUCUGCUGGUCUCUUAUGCAUUGUUGGUAGAUGGCCAGAAGAGUGGUGGACACAGCAGGCUGCCCAGCCCUUCCAAGAGGGAGCCCGCGGAGCAGACGUCAGUGUGUGCCCCACCUGGGCCAUGGCGGGGCAGGUGAAACCAAAUUCAAAGGCAUCCGGAGGGCAACAGAGGGGAGAGGUUACCCAAAGCAGGCUCCAGAACUCACGACCCUGAGAUCAAGACCUGAGCUGAGAUGGAGUCUGACGCUUAACCGACUGAGCCACCCAGGCGCUCCUUGUUGCUGAUGUUCUUAAUGAGAUUGAAGGAUCAGUGAUCACAACCUUCUUCUCAGUGGCGGAGCUUCCCAGAGAUGCUCCUCACUGACGGGAAAGGGGAAGGAGACCGAGACUGCAGGGCACAGAGCAUGUGGGAACUAACUUCCGGCACUCGGAUGAGGGCGGAGGUGGGCUGCAGGAAGGCGAAGGUGCAGGUCCCGGGCUACACCCCUCAGCUGGCUGUGCAUCGGGAUCCUUUCUGAGAGACCCUCCUUACGUACGUACUCGGGAGCCUUGCACAGGCAGAAGCUCCUUCCUUGCUGCUGCUGCGGUGCCAUCAGGCCUUUUCAGCAGGAGUUACGCUUUAGGGAGUCCCCUCCCACCGGCCACAGGGCGGGCGCAGGCCAGAAACCAGAGAGGCUUUUCUUGACCAGAAAUCAGGCCCGGGCUCUCCCAGAGGUGGAACUGUAGAAGCGGCAGCUACUUGUCUCGGCACGCCUCUAACAGUGAUUCCUGACUAGGUUUUCCUAGUCGGGCCCAGAUGGGAGGAUACGGUGCACAGGAGCCUUAAGGUUCUCCUGGGUGGAGCACAGAGACCGUGGUGAAAGCUCUUGUGUCCUCCACACGCCCUAUCCAGACAUGCCCCUCUCCUCUGCGCUUUGGCUCACGCUGUCCCACACCAGGGGCACCUUCCUCCUUCCUUUCUAGCCACCCAUCCCUGAGGACCGACUCAGGGUGUAAGUGUUUCAUGAAGCAUUCAUUAAUUACUCCUGCCCACUCUUCUCUCUUCUUGCUCUAAAAUUCUAGAGCACGGCUCUCACCUGGGGCGACGGUGGGGGGCAACUGUGUUCCCAGGAGAUGCCCAAAGACGUCUUUCAUUGUCACAACUUUUGGAGAGUGCUACCGGCAUUGAGUGAGUAGGGACCAGGGAUGCUGCUAAACAUCUUGCGAUGCACAGGGCAGUGCCCCGCCUGCGCGAACACGGCCCAGGUUGAGGAACUCUGAUUUAGAGGAGUAAGAACUGACACACGGCAAGCACACCAUUUAGACCUCUGGGGUUUCCUCUCCUCUCCUUUAAGUCUCUUAUUGUACUACGUGUGAAAAUCCCGUCUCCCCCAAAAGGCUGCGAGCUCAAGUACGGUGCCGCACGGUCAGUUCCAUCCCCAGGAAAGGCAGCCAGCUGUGGUGCAGUGGUGAGGGCUCUGGGUUCACAAGCUGACAGACGGAGAGGCGGGCAUUCCAAACAACGGAUUCUGCCAUGUUAGUGCAACGCCUAGCUGUUGAAUUUCAGCCCUGUGUAAAGCUGAAACGGUUUGUGGGGGCAUUCAGGCCUUGCUUGGGAAGACUUGGCUAGUCCUGGAGUGUCUCUUGGGCUCUAAUGUCUUUUUCCUAGAAGAUUCUUGAGACAUCCCAUUAUCCACCAACCACCAUGAUCUGUUAACUUCGUGAGCUCAUGCUUGACAUGAUGUUUAUUUUAGCUCUUUGCCCCUAGAUAGGGCUCCUCAUCCUUCACAGCUGGUUAUCAGAGAUCAACUCUUCAGGUGACAGAUGGUGCUAUCCCCAGGAGCCCCAAAGACGUGCACAUGUUGCACAAGAGGUGGGGUGGCGUCAGAAGUAGCAAUGGGUAACCACUGUGCACUUACCUGAAGCUUCUCAAUCAGAGGCGAACUCUUCACCUUGAUUUUAGGAGGGUGGCUUGCAUUGGGCGGUGAUUUCUACAGAGCAAAUGGACCAAAACCACGGAAUCAGUGAGGUGAAGGGAGGUGGGGUUCUGGCUGGAGCCCCAAAGGCCCAGGUGAAAGAAGAGGAGAAGUUGAUUUCACCGCUUUCCCGCUUAGCUUUCAGCAGCCCACCCACCUGGUCAGGGCCUGGGCCUGGCUGGGCUCCCCACCACCCCUCCCUCGUCUCACAGGUAUAAGACCACUUGAAUCUAUGAAAUCAGAGCAGGCUGGACAGACAUCUGAAACACAGGCGGCCUCCUGUUCCAGAAAGGAUGACUUCAUGGUCAUUAUGAGACAACAGACUAUGUCUGAGGGGAUGCGAUCUUCACCUCCUGACCUUCAACAACAUGAGCCAAUGACGGGAGGGAAUUCCAGAGAGACAGGGCAAAAUGACUACUUGUUCUGUUUGUACAAACAACAGAAGACACCACAGACCAAAGGUGAAAGCUUACAGAGGUUUAACUGAAAUUUCUCCCUUGAACUAAUGAUAUUUUGGAAAAGUCAAACCACCAAUAGUGUUAUUUAUAGAUUAUCAUUUUCCAAAACAUCGUUCAUUUCGAUUAAGCAGACAUUUACCGAGUAUCUACUACAUUCCCAGCAUUGUCUUGCCUGGUUAUACGACGAUGAACACGAUAUGGUCUCUGGCUUCUAGAAGCGAUCAAUGGCUGAUACAUACAUAUAAAACCAUACAUAUGGAGGCACCUUGGUGACUCAGCUGGUUAAGUGUCCGACUUCAGCUCAGGUCAUGAUCUCAUAGCUUGUGGGUUCGAGCCCCACAUCGGGCUCUGUGCUGACAGCUCAGAGCCUGGAGCCUGCUUCAGAUUCUGUGUCUUCCUCCCUCUCUGUCCCUCCCCCACUCGUGCUCUGACUCUCUUGGUCUCUCAACAAUAAACGUUGAAAGAAAUUUAAAAAUAAAAAACAAAA